CAGAGUUCAUGCCCUCACGGGUAGACCUCCCACCCUUGAUUAUUUACAAUUGUUGCUUUGGCGGGCCGCUUCGGCUACCGACUUCGGUUGGUAAGUGCCCGCCAGAGAACCCUAAACUCUGAAUUAGUGUCGUCUGAGUACUAUAUAAUAGUUA
Molecule: unclassified non-coding RNA, 154 nt
Filed under: uncultured Helotiales
Lineage: Eukaryota; Fungi; Ascomycota; Leotiomycetes; Helotiales
Description: sequence contains ITS1
Source: RNAcentral